RNAcentral lists this transfer RNA (23 nucleotides) under Oreocharis benthamii. Its description in RNAcentral is "partial tRNA-Phe". RNAcentral also lists the same sequence under 2 other names. The record is from RNAcentral. Lineage: Eukaryota; Viridiplantae; Streptophyta; Magnoliopsida; Lamiales; Gesneriaceae.
UUGGGAAUGGUCGGGAUAGCUCA